UACCAGCACCCCGAGUGGUCGGGACGUUUAUUGGGCCUAAAGCAUCCGUAGCCGGUUCUACAAGUCUUCCGUUAAAUCCACCUGCUUAACAGAUGGGCUGCGGAAGAUACUAUAGAGCUAGGAGGCGGGAGAGGCAAGCGGUACUCAGUGGGUAGGGGUAAAAUCCUUUGAUCCAUUGAAGACCACCAGUGGCGAAGGCGGCUUGCCAGAACGCGCUCGACGGUGAGGGAUGAAAGCUGGGGGAGCAAACCGG
Molecule: ribosomal RNA, 253 nt
Filed under: uncultured bacterium
Lineage: Bacteria
Description: partial 16S ribosomal RNA
Rfam family: Archaeal small subunit ribosomal RNA
Source: RNAcentral